Molecule: ribosomal RNA, 421 nt
Filed under: uncultured bacterium
Lineage: Bacteria
Description: bacterial SSU rRNA
Rfam family: Bacterial small subunit ribosomal RNA
Source: RNAcentral
AUCCUGGCUCAGAGCGAACGUUAGCGGCGCGCCUAACACAUGCAAGUCGCACGAGAAAGGGGCAACCCCCGGUACAGUGGCGCACGGGUGAGUAACACGUGGAUUACCUUCCCUGGAGUGGUGGAUAACCUGCCGAAAGGUGGGCUAAUACAGCAUGAGACCACGCACUUUCGAGUGUGAGGUCAAAGCGGGCUUCUGUUUACAUGCUCGCGCUCUAGGAUGGGUCCGCGGCCCAUCAGCUAGUUGGUAGGGUAACGGCCUACCAAGGCAACGACGGGUAGCUGGUCUGAGAGGAUGACCAGCCACACUGGAACUGAGACACGGUCCAGACUCCUACGGGAGGCAGCAGUGGGGAAUCUUGCGCAAUGGGCGAAAGCCUGACGCAGCGACGCCGCGUGGGUGACGAAGGCCUCGGUGUAAG